GACCAAAACGCAGCAGGUACGUGAAUGCUCAUCUUGAUUUUUAAUUACUCUCAAAAAUGAACAUACCAAAUAACGAAAAAACGAACACUCGACAAAUAAACAGUCUGGUAAGGCACAAGGCUAUACACAGAAUAAUCACCCACAAAUCACAAACACAAACACACCCUAAUAUAUGGGACUCUCAAUCAAAGGCAGAUAGACAACACCUGCCUUCAACUGAGAGUCCCAACCCCAAUUAACCAAACAUAGACAUACACUCACUAGACUCCACAUAGAACUACCUAGACAUAAACCAAAACCCGGAAAUACUAAACCAAACACCCUUUUAACAAACACACCACCCCGAACCACAUAAAACAAAUACCCUCUGCCACGCCCUGACCAAACUACAAAACAAUUAACUUUAUAUACUGGCCAGGACGUGACAACUCUAUAAGUAGGCUGACUUUCACCACUACACAAUAUAUCCAUCAACAACAAUCUUUCAACUCUAUAAGUAGGCUGACUUUCACCAUUAUACAAUAUAUCCAUCAACAACAAUCUUUCAACUCUACUCUAUAAGUAGGCUGACUUUCACCACGACACAAUAUAUCCAUCAACAACAAUCUUUCAACUCUACUCUAUAAGUAGGCUGACUUUCACCACGACACAAUAUAUCCAUCAACAACAAUCUUUCAACUCUACUCUAUAAGUAGGCUGACUUUCACCAUUACACAAUAUAUCCAUCAACAACAAUCUUUCAACUCUAUAAGUAGGCUGACUUUCACCAUUACACAAUAUAUCCAUCAACAACAAUCUUUCAACUCUAUAAGUAGGCUGACUUUCACCAUUACACAAUAUAUCCAUCAACAACAAUCUUUCAACUCUACUCUAUAAGUAGGCUGACUUUCACCACUACACAAUAUAUCCAUCAACAACAAUCUUUCAACUCUAUAAGUAGGCUGACUUUCACCACUACACAAUAUAUCCAUCAACAACAAUCUUUCAACUCUACUCUAUAAGUAGGCUGACUUUCACCACUACACAAUAUAUCCAUCAACAACAAUCUUUCAACUCUACAUGUAACAUUUAACAGUUUAUUUUAAGUAAAGUUCGACCAACAUGUCUAUCUGCAACAAUCUUUUCCCAAACCUAAUAUGUGUCUGCAAAAACCUCCCCACUCAACAUAUCACGAUUCAAUCAGACAUUUUUAACACUGAAUAAUAAC
This 1207-nucleotide long non-coding RNA is filed under the name Salmo salar (Atlantic salmon). Its description in RNAcentral is "lncRNA (ENSSSAG00000086294.1)". Lineage: Eukaryota; Metazoa; Chordata; Actinopteri; Salmoniformes; Salmonidae. The record is from RNAcentral.